RNAcentral lists this microRNA (23 nucleotides) under Cordylochernes scorpioides. The record is from RNAcentral. Lineage: Eukaryota; Metazoa; Arthropoda; Arachnida; Pseudoscorpiones; Chernetidae.
AGGGCCACCGCGCUCCGUUCCUC